Molecule: ribosomal RNA, 446 nt
Filed under: uncultured bacterium
Lineage: Bacteria
Description: bacterial SSU rRNA
Rfam family: Bacterial small subunit ribosomal RNA
Source: RNAcentral
AACGCGAAGAACCUUACCAGGAUUCGACAUGUCCCUUAUGGAUUCCCGAAAAGGAAUCCUUCACUUCGGGUGGGGGGAACACAGGUGCUGCAUGGCUGUCGUCAGCUCGUGUCGUGAGAUGUUGGGUUAAGUCCCGCAACGAGCGCAACCCUCGUCCUCUGUUGCUAACAGGUUAGGCUGAGCACUCUGAGGAAACUGCCGGUGAUAAGCCGGAGGAAGGUGGGGAUGACGUCAAGUCCUCAUGGCCCUUACAUCCUGGGCUACACACGUGUUACAAUGGCAGUGACAAUGGGUCGCGAUCGCGCAAGCGCUAGCCAAUCCCAAAAAAGCUGCCUCAGUUCGGAUUGUACUCUGCAACUCGAGUACAUGAAGCUGGAAUCGCUAGUAAUCGUGGAUCAGCACGCCACGGUGAAUACGUUCCCGGGCCUUGUACACACCGAGACGAC